GAAAUAUAGGGUCUUGUUUAGGGAUUCAGUUUGUAAAUAGUGUAUUUCCCAAUUCGUCGAAAUUGGAAUUAACAGAAAUCCCUAAUUUCGAUGUAAUUAGAUUUCAUGUUUUUCGAUCAAAUUUUGUACGGUUGGAAUUGGUUUUAAUUAAGAUGCAAAAUUACCAAACUAUCCUCACUUUAAUUCUAUCAAUAUCCUUAUCUUCUCCUCUCCUUCCUACUCUUUCUUAUCACCAGAAACCCUAAAAAAACCUUCUUCUUCCUUGUUCUUCCAAUUGAACCCAAUUCUUCUACCGUACCUAUCCACCGUCAACGCCAUCGAUCGAGUGUUUUCCUUAGCGCCCAUCCAUCUAUCGUGAGCAGACCCUUCCCUUCCCUUCAGUUCAGCCAUCGAUCGCGUUCUGUCCUUCAGUCGGGAUUUACAAAAGAAUGAAGAAAGCAUAACAAGUCAGCCACUGCAUCGAACUAGUGAAAGAGAACAGCACAAUAAAACAGUUGAUGUUUUUAAUCAGUCAACCAUAAAUCAAAACUCUAAAUCAGAUAAAUCGAAAACCAUGAGAUGCCUUAAUCGAAAAACCCUAAAAAUAAGAUGAACUAAUUCGAAAACCUAGAUCGGAACUGACAGUAAUCGUCAAGAACCCAGAAGAAGAAGAGGGAUAUGAGUUACCUAAAUAACGAUACAGAAGGAGAUGAUGGGCGAUGAAUGACGAUUUGGGUUUUCACCACGAGUUGGGUUUUGAGGGUUGUAGGACACUCUGCGAUUAUCUGGAGGUAAAGAGCUUGGGGACGAGCUGCGCGAAAGGAGAUCGAGGACGACGAGCUUGUCGGAGGAUGUUCGCCGCCGACUAGAUGGAAGAAACUCAAAACUCCAUUUUGGAGCAUUGGAUUGAAGGAAGAUCAUCUGUGAGCUGUCGUUUGAUUUCAGCAUAUGGUGG
RNAcentral lists this long non-coding RNA (934 nucleotides) under Linum usitatissimum (flax). RNAcentral's name for it is "long non-coding RNA (LUSI_LNC007426)". The record is from RNAcentral. Lineage: Eukaryota; Viridiplantae; Streptophyta; Magnoliopsida; Malpighiales; Linaceae.